UGGGGAAUUUUGGACAAUGGGCGAAAGCCUGAUCCAGCAAUGCCGCGUGUGUGAAGAAGGCCUUCGGGUUGUAAAGCACUUUUGUCCGGAAAGAAAUCCUUGGCUCUAAUACAGUCGGGGGAUGACGGUACCGGAAGAAUAAGCACCGGCUAACUACGUGCCAGCAGCCGCGGUAAUACGUAGGGUGCAAGCGUUAAUCGGAAUUACUGGGCGUAAAGCGUGCGCAGGCGGUUUGCUAAGACCGAUGUGAAAUCCCCGGGCUCAACCUGGGAACUGCAUUGGUGACUGGCAGGCUAGAGUAUGGCAGAGGGGGGUAGAAUUCCACGUNUAGCAGUGAAAUGCGUAGAGAUGUGGAGGAAUACCGAUGGCGAAGGCAGCCCCCUGGGCCAAUACUGACGCUCAUGCACGAAAGCGUGGGGAGCAAACAGGAUUAGAUACCCUGGUAGUCCAGCGCCCUAAACGAUGUCAACUAGUUGUUGGGGAUUCAUUUCCUUAGUAACGUAGCUAACGCGU
RNAcentral lists this ribosomal RNA (513 nucleotides) under uncultured bacterium. Its description in RNAcentral is "partial 16S ribosomal RNA". It matches the Rfam family "Bacterial small subunit ribosomal RNA", at positions 355 to 860 of the family's 1533-position model. The record is from RNAcentral.